RNAcentral lists this ribosomal RNA (301 nucleotides) under uncultured bacterium. RNAcentral's name for it is "partial 16S ribosomal RNA". It matches the Rfam family "Bacterial small subunit ribosomal RNA", at positions 509 to 807 of the family's 1533-position model. The record is from RNAcentral.
CAGCAGCCGCGGUAAUACGAAGGGGGCUAGCGUUGCUCGGAAUGACUGGGCGUAAAGGGCGCGUAGGCGGAUUGUUUAGUUAGGCGUGAAAUUCCUGGGCUUAACCUGGGGACUGCGCUUAAUACAGGCAGUCUAGAGUGAGGAAGAGGGUUGUGGAAUUCCCAGUGUAGAGGUGAAAUUCGUAGAUAUUGGGAAGAACACCGGUGGCGAAGGCGGCAACCUGGUCCUUGACUGACGCUGAGGCGCGAAAGCGUGGGGAGCAAACAGGAUUAGAUACCCCAGUAGUCCCUGUCUCUUAUAC